Molecule: ribosomal RNA, 305 nt
Filed under: uncultured bacterium
Lineage: Bacteria
Description: partial 16S ribosomal RNA
Rfam family: Bacterial small subunit ribosomal RNA
Source: RNAcentral
ACAGCAGUAGCCGCGGUAAUACAUAGGUGGCAAGCGUUGUCCGGAAUUAUUGGGCGUAAAGGGCUCGCAGGCGGUUUCUUAAGUCUGAUGUGAAAGCCCCCGGCUCAACCGGGGAGGGUCAUUGGAAACUGGGAAACUUGAGUGCAGAAGAGGAGAGUGGAAUUCCACGUGUAGCGGUGAAAUGCGCAGAGAUGUGGAGGAACACCAGUGGCGAAGGCGACUCUCUGGUCUGUAACUGACGCUGAGGAGCGAAAGCGUGGGGAGCGAACAGGAUUAGAUACCCCAGUAGUCCCUGUCUCUUAUAA